AAACUUACGCUAAUACCGCAUACGACCUACGGGUGAAAGUGGGGGACCGCAAGGCCUCACGCGAUUAGAUGAGCCGAUGUCCGAUUAGCUAGUUGGCGGGGUAAUGGCCCACCAAGGCGACGAUCGGUAGCUGGUCUGAGAGGAUGAUCAGCCACACUGGAACUGAGACACGGUCCAGACUCCUACGGGAGGCAGCAGUGGGGAAUAUUGGACAAUGGGCGCAAGCCUGAUCCAGCCAUACCGCGUGGGUGAAGAAGGCCUUCGGGUUGUAAAGCCCUUUUGUUGGGAAAGAAAUCCUAUCGGUUAAUAACCGGUGGGGAUGACGGUACCCAAAGAAUAAGCACCGGCUAACUUCGUGCCAGCAGCCGCGGUAAUACGAANGGUGCAAGCGUUACUCGGGAAUUACUGGGCGUAAAGCGUGCGUAGGUGGUGGUUUUAGUCCGUUGUGAAAGCCCUGGGCUCAACCUGGGAAUNGCAGUGGAUACUUGGAUCNCUA
This 496-nucleotide ribosomal RNA is filed under the name uncultured Pseudoxanthomonas sp. RNAcentral's name for it is "bacterial SSU rRNA". It matches the Rfam family "Bacterial small subunit ribosomal RNA", at positions 154 to 643 of the family's 1533-position model. Lineage: Bacteria; Pseudomonadati; Pseudomonadota; Gammaproteobacteria; Lysobacterales; Lysobacteraceae. The record is from RNAcentral.